RNAcentral lists this ribosomal RNA (556 nucleotides) under Ilanga cf. norfolkensis LS-2013. RNAcentral's name for it is "partial 16S ribosomal RNA". It matches the Rfam family "Bacterial large subunit ribosomal RNA", at positions 1816 to 2597 of the family's 2925-position model. Lineage: Eukaryota; Metazoa; Mollusca; Gastropoda; Trochida; Solariellidae. The record is from RNAcentral.
CGCUCUUUGUGUAUAUGUAUUAAAGAUGGAGAGUCGGACCUGCCCAGUGACAUACGUGUUAAACGGCCGCGGUACUCUGACCGUGCAAAGGUAGCAUAAUCACUUGCCUUUUAAUUGGAGGCUUGUAUGAAUGGUUUAACGAGAACUAAGCUGUCUCCUUUUAAAUAUUUAGAAAUUAACUUAUAGGUGAAGAGGCCUAUAUGUGUUUGAGGGACAAGAAGACCCUUUUGAGUUUUAGUGAAGUUAGAAAAGAAAUUUAUUUCAAUUUAUUAGGUUGAAAUAAUAGACUGUGUAGUGACAUAAUUUAAUUUUUUAGUUAAUCUUUAGUUGGGGCGACUGAGGAGCAUAAUGAGCUUCCUUUAAGUUUAUAUUAUGGCUGGCUGGCUAAUUUGAUCCAGUAUUUAUUGAUUAAAGGAAAAAAUUACCAUAGGGAUAACAGCGUAAUCUUUUCGGAGAGUUCUUAUCGAAGAAAGGGUUUGCGACCUCGAUGUUGGACUAAGAUAUCCCGGAGGUGUAGAAGCUUCUGAGGGUUGGUCUGUUCGACCAUUAAAAUCUU